Long non-coding RNA from Lactuca sativa (garden lettuce), 570 nucleotides. RefSeq lists it as uncharacterized. The record is from RefSeq and is a predicted model, not a curated record. NCBI's taxonomy places the organism in Eukaryota, Viridiplantae, Streptophyta, Magnoliopsida, Asterales, Asteraceae.
CUCAAAUACCCAAGCUAAAUGGUAUAAUCGCCACAACCUACAAUAGCAUUAUACGCCCCAAAAAUCAGGGUUUGUAAUGUAACGAAUUUCCACUCAGACGAAAUGAGGCGAUCUCAGAGGGGAUUAUGAAAAAGGAUUUCUAGGGUUGUUGCCCUCCUCUGUUCAAAUGGAAGUUCGAUUUUGACUUUAUUUAGUCAAACUCCAUCCUCGUGGCCGAUGAUUUUCUUCAGAAUUCAACAACCCCUUUUAUCAGAGCUGUUCUAAAUAAGCAAAGCUCAAACACCCUGUUGAUGUCAUUAUCCCUUCAGAUCAUCUUCAACCCAUUACUAUACUCGAACCUUCAAUUUCGACUCCAGCGAUAAGGUUUGAUGAAUUUUCAGAGGCUGUGAUGAUUGAUAUGUUUUAAUCUGUCUGAGUGGAUUCGAGCAAAGUUGAGGUUAUCUGCAUCUUGGUGGGGCAACCUGGAUGGUUAUGUGAAAGAAUCUUUGUGUUCUUUUACAUUGCAACCAGUAAGUUUGCAGCCAUGGCGGAUUCAUCCUCUUUGUUCGAUUGUUGCAGAUCUGAGCCUUA